Long non-coding RNA from Notolabrus celidotus (New Zealand spotty), 817 nucleotides. RefSeq lists it as uncharacterized. The record is from RefSeq and is a predicted model, not a curated record. The transcript has 2 exons. NCBI's taxonomy places the organism in Eukaryota, Metazoa, Chordata, Actinopteri, Labriformes, Labridae.
AGCUGGUUGACAGCUCGCUGUAAUCAUAGUAAUUCACCGAACAGGAGCUACACAGCAGCAGGGCGCGCUUCUCGUACAUCCCAAACCCACAUUUCACCAAGUUUAUCCAUUCCGGUUCAGGCAUUUGUCUCACCAAUAUUAAUUCCGCAUUUACUAACUCCUGCUCAACAAGCUUCAGUUGAAGGAACUGGUGAAGGAGUGGAGGCUGACAGCAGCUGACGGAGGUCAGUGUGUUGUGACCGCCCUGCUGCUGUUAAUGACGGGCCUAUAAACUGGCGACAGAUCUAUUCUGGACCGAGAAGCGAGAGACAGAGCCUCUGCCCCGUGAAUCUGAGAGGAAGGCUGCACAUGAGACACCCAGCAUGAGGCUGUGGGGUUUGUCUGUACCUCCUCCAAACGGCGCCCAGAUGACCCGCCGUAUGGCCUUGACCCAGUCAUCCAUGUCUGUCUGGGAGUUUGCCAUAAGCAGGAAGGACUCAUGGCUGAUCGGUGCGCGGUCCUUCUCUCCUGUUCCACCUAAAGGAGACAAUGAGGGGCAUAAAAUGAGAAAAUUAAGAAUUGAGAUAAGAGCUGUUUUUAGCUAUAUGCAUCAAGUACCAAUGGUCUCCUUUGUUAUAACCUUACAUGAAGAGUAAUGUGUUUGUAUCAUCUUGCAAAGGGAAUUAUGAUACAUACAAGUACUAACAAACUGAAAUGGAUCCCUAAAUCAAGAUAUGGAGGACAAAUCAAAGAUGUAUCUUGUGAAAAAUUCUAAGAUCGUGGGUUCAGUGGAUAUAGAUGGUUUUGAGUGUACACAUUAAAGGACAAAACAGGUCAG